Molecule: ribosomal RNA, 400 nt
Filed under: uncultured bacterium
Lineage: Bacteria
Description: bacterial SSU rRNA
Rfam family: Bacterial small subunit ribosomal RNA
Source: RNAcentral
GGGGAAUAUUGGACAAUGGGCGAAAGCCUGAUCCAGCAAUGCCGCGUGAGUGAUGAAGGCCUUAGGGUUGUAAAGCUCUUUUACCCGGGAUGAUAAUGACAGUACCGGGAGAAUAAGCUCCGGCUAACUCCGUGCCAGCAGCCGCGGUAAUACGGAGGGAGCUAGCGUUGUUCGGAAUUACUGGGCGUAAAGCGCACGUAGGCGGCUUUGUAAGUUAGAGGUGAAAGCCUGGAGCUUAACUCCAGAACUGCCUUUAAGACUGCAUCGCUUGAAUCCAGGAGAGGUGAGUGGAAUUCCGAGUGUAGAGGUGAAAUUCGUAGAUAUUCGGAAGAACACCAGUGGCGAAGGCGGCUCACUGGACUGGUAUUGACGCUGAGGUGCGAAAGCGUGGGGAGCAAAC